This is a non-coding RNA of Ictidomys tridecemlineatus (thirteen-lined ground squirrel), 69 nucleotides long. NCBI's taxonomy places the organism in Eukaryota, Metazoa, Chordata, Mammalia, Rodentia, Sciuridae. The record is from Rfam.
GGGAUUGUGGCUCAGAGGUAGAGUGCUUGCCUAGCACGCGUGAGGUUCUGGGUUUGAUCCUCAGCACCA